This 253-nucleotide ribosomal RNA is filed under the name uncultured bacterium. RNAcentral's name for it is "partial 16S ribosomal RNA". It matches the Rfam family "Bacterial small subunit ribosomal RNA", at positions 524 to 776 of the family's 1533-position model. The record is from RNAcentral.
UACGGAGGGUGCAAGCGUUAUCCGGAUUCACUGGGUUUAAAGGGUGCGUAGGUGGCGGGGUAAGUCAGGUGUGAAAUUUCGGAGCUUAACUCCGAAACUGCAUUUGAUACUGCCUUGCUUGAGGACUGGAGAGGAGACUGGAAUUCAUGGUGUAGCAGUGAAAUGCGUAGAGAUCAUGAGGAAGACCAGUGGCGAAGGCGGGUCUCUGGACAGUUCCUGACACUGAGGCACGAAGGCCAGGGGAGCAAACGGG